This 247-nucleotide long non-coding RNA is filed under the name Lathyrus oleraceus (garden pea). RNAcentral describes it as "Pisum sativum (pea) long non-coding RNA (PSAT_LNC013118)". The record is from RNAcentral. Lineage: Eukaryota; Viridiplantae; Streptophyta; Magnoliopsida; Fabales; Fabaceae.
AUGAAGGAUCAAGGGCUCAUUCAUGGUACCUUGAAGCAUAAAUAAGAUUCCUCCAUAUCAACCAACUUGAUCAUUUGACACAUGGAUGAAGCUUUAUUUGUGUACAUGCUAACUCGUGGUUUCAUUUGUUCCAUUCUGUUUCUAUUGUUAUACUAACCCUCUAACCAUUUUACUAACUUGUUCAUAUUGUAAAUUGAUCAUAAUAUAACUUGUCUAACCUAAUCAUUAAUCAACUUAUUAACCUUUA